This 38585-nucleotide long non-coding RNA is filed under the name Malus domestica (apple). Its description in RNAcentral is "long non-coding RNA (MDOM_LNC015853)". The record is from RNAcentral. Lineage: Eukaryota; Viridiplantae; Streptophyta; Magnoliopsida; Rosales; Rosaceae.
AAGCAAUGUCUUACGAAGUGACCAUGGCCGAAAGGACACAUACUUUUAACAAUCUAUUGCAUCUAUUUUCAACAAUUAAUCAAUGAAAUAACUCAAGUGUACUGUUGUUUUGAUUUAAUUUGUAACAUCUGUACUAUUUUAUAGACAAAGAUACAGUUACUCUUUUUUUUUUUUUAGGUAAACUGGAAUUACACCAGGGCAAAGCCAGAGUACAACAGGAAAACCCACACAGAGGACUAACAUAGCUAAAACCAUUGAAACGACAAACAACAGAAUGAUCCAGGGCCAAGGACCAACACUAGUUCCGACAUUAUGUCACCCUUAAUCAUUCCAACAUAGACUCAACUUAGUGUGGGCAAGGUAGACCAUCCUUGUUCAACUUCUUGUCUCCUUCCCAACAUCUGUACUAUUUUAUACCAACAUGAUUCUCUCCAGAUUCUUUUGGUGAGAAUCUUGUCUGUUCAUCAUAAAUCGUGCGAUCAGUUUUUGUCAACUACUGUUCGUGUUUUAUUUUAAAUAAAAAUAUUUAAAAUAAUUUUUGACCGCACGAUGUACGAUGAACAGACAGGAUAACGGAUUUCCAAGAUUCUCACAAAGAGAAUCCGACGAGUAUCCGGAAUCUAUUUUAUAGACAAAGAUACAGUUACAAACAGUCCUUGUCUCCUUCCCCAAAUCAUUCUUCGUUUUUGUAUAGCUAUAUUUGACACACACACAUAAUAAACCACACAGUACGCUAAACUUGAAUAUAGACAAGCAGUAAUUUCAUCUUCUAUUUUUCUUGUUAGCCAAUAGCCAUCUGCAGACCUAGCUACUCUCUGAAUCCAAGUUCGGAUCUCCUCUCAUAGUUUUUACAACAUUAUAUUAAAAUAACGCCCGAAUAAAAUAAAUUAAACAAUUACACGACAGAGAAAUUUAAGAAGUAAACAAAUAGGAACAAUGUAUGAAAGUUUUAAGUACCUAUGAGAAAGAUUGAAGUUUCCCAAUUUGUAGGGAGUGAGGAGAGGAAUUGUGGGAGGUUGAGCAGCAGCAGACAUCUCAGAAUUCGAGUCGGUCGUCUACCACCUGAUCUUGCACUUGGCGUUUUAUACUGGAUUCUGGGAUGAAGGAAGGAAGGAAUGAAUGAAAACAGGACCCAAUUGGGUCUUUUAUACGUUCGGUAGGAGCUUAAAAGUCCGCCCUGCAGCUUUCCUCCACAAAAGUCAGAGAAGGCCGGGUCCCACAUCUCCCCUCCCUUGUGUGGUGGUGGCGGCGGCGGACGUCGGUGGGUGGAUGAUGGAUCUCUCCAAAGCAUUAAUUAAAUCGAUUAGGUGAAGAGAGGUAGGAAGGUUUGAUGAGGUCUGUAAUUACGUUUACGUGGGUUGAAAAUAAACCAGUUUUAUGAGGUCUGUAAUUACGUUUGCGUGGGUUGAAAGUUCACCAGUUUUCCCCAUGAAAAAGGACGUCUACGCACGUUCAUUUCGAUUUUGCUUUUUCAUCCUGCAUUAUUAGGCCAUGGUUAGAAAAAAUAUAUUAUAAUUUUGUAAAAAAAUUAAUUUUAAAUUAAUAGUGUCAGAUCAUAUUUAUAUACUAUCGCUAACCAAAUGAGCUAAACAUAGCCUCAUCAAUUUCCGAUGGAUAGCUAGACUAAAAUUCUAUGGAGCUCAUCAAGCCAUCAUUUGGCUAAAGGGGCAUUGGGCUGGCCAAAUGUAGCCCCCCUUCUUAGCCCUUUUUGGAGCCCAGCUCCUCUACUGCACUAUUUGAGUCAAAUUCAAUAACUAUGUUUGAAAACAUUUAAUGGAAGUUUAAUUAAAUUAAUCAAUAAAUUUAAUAUAUAAACUUAAAACUAAGUAAUUAUUGAGAGGGUUAUGUUUAGCCACUUCAGUGACGGUAUAAGUAUGAUGCGAUAUUGUUCAGUCAUUUCGGUUAAUGAUGGCCUACGGUUAGAAUUUUGAGGAUAUGUGAGACUAAAUGCAUGUUAGUUACAAAAUUAUGUUUGUUUAGAUCACUUGAAAUAUUUGACAACUUAAUAAAGAAAAACCAACUUAAAAUCCAUGAAUUAGAAAACUCAUUUUCUUUUUUGGUUUUAUUAAGUUGUCAAAUAUUUAAGCUUUUGAAUACAAACUAAUAUAAUCUUGUGGCUAAUAUACAUUUGGUCCUCACAAAUCUUUAAAAUGAAGACCUUACUUGAUCAAUGAAUUUAUGACAAAUUAAAUAGUCUAAAAAUAAAAGGCUCGAAUUAGGGCUAGGUUCAGUUCAAAUCAGUUCAAUUUUUUUUUCAGUUUGGGUUUUUUUUGGUUCCAAUUCGGUUUUUUUCGUGAUUUUUUUUAAAUCUUUUUUUUUUUGUCAAAAAUAUAAAGAAGAGUAAUUUUACUUUUUUUUUUUUCCGAUGAACUAAGAAAUUAAAGAAGGAACUUGAAUUAAAACUAGGGCAACUCGCAAUGAUGGCUGCAUCAACAAAUCAUCCAUAUCUACAAUACGAACAGAAACCUUUGUAAAUCAUAAAGUCCUUAAUGCUGAAUCCUUUAAGAACCAAGACUUGAAAACCCUAAAUCUGCAAUACAAACCCACAAGUAACAAACAAACCCACAACACAAAAAUCGACCAAAUCUGCAAUACAAACCAAACUCCCUCCAUGGCGCCAUGUCGCUGCCUCCGUUUUCCGGCCAAACCAAGGCGAUUUAACAUAAAAAAAAAAGGUACCAUUCUCUUCGUCUCAUCUAGAAGUAUGAUUUUUGUUUUUGAAUCACUUGAUUUCGUUGAGUAUUCAAGAAGUUAUGAACGUUUAAAGUUUACUCAGUUUCUGGCGAGUUUUCAAGUUUUCUAUCUUAUUCUACACUUUCCUAUCUUCAUUUUGAUAUUUUAUGGGUCGAAUUUGGUUAAGAAACGAUUGAGUUAUAAAGCUUUGAAAAUUGCCCAAGAACUCCGGGACACUUAACGGAGUUUUUAACGGAAUGACCAAAAUGAUGGAUGGUGGACAAUCUCAAGGACCACUUUUAUCGAUUUGAAAUGUUAGGGACCAAGGUGAUGAGUUAUGCAAAUCUCAGGGACUAUUUUGACUAUUUAGCCUUUUUUUUUUCAUAAACGAAAAUAAUUUUUUUUAAUGAAGAUAGAAAAGUGUAGAAUAAGAUUAUACCUAUUUGGAAGCCCAAUGGCUGCCGGAGAUAGCCGGAAAAUAGCCUCAAAGUUGACUGGUCCGAGGGAAAAUUGGAAAACUCGCCGGAAACUGGGUAAACUUUAAACGUUCAACUUCUUCAAUACUCAACUAAAUCAAGUGAUUCAAAAACAAAAAUCAUACUUCUCGAUGAGACGAAGAGAAUGGUACCUUUUAAGACGGUUAAAUCGCGGUGGUUUGGCCAUAAAAAGGCUCAAAAGUGUCUAACUCGAGACCAAGACAGCCACUUUGGAACCGUUUUCCGGGCAAACCACGGUGAUUUAGCCGUCAAAAUAGGUACCAUUCUCUUAUUAUCGUUGAGAAGUAUGAUUUUAGUUUUGAAUAACUUGAUUUCGUUGAGUAUUGAAGAAGUUAUGAACAUUUAAAGUUUACUCAGUUUUUGGCGAGUUUUCCAGUUUUCCUUCGGACCAGUCAACUUUGAGGCUAUUUUCUUGCUAUCUCCGGCAGCCAUUGGGCCUCCAAAUAGGUAUAAUCUUAUUCUACACUUUCCUAUCUUCAUUUUGAUAUAUUAUGGGUCGAAUUUGGUUAAGAAACGUUUGAGUUAUGAAGCUUUAAAAAUUGUCCAAAUUUCCAGCCAAGAACUCCAGGACACUUAACGGAGUUUUUAACUAAAUGACCAAAAUGAUGGAUGGUGGACAAUCUCAAGGACUAAUUUUAUCGAUUUGAAAUGUUAGGGACCAAAGUGAUGAGUUAUGCAAAUCUUAGGGACCAUUUUGGCUAUUUAGCCCAAAAAAAAUUGCAAACUUUAAAUGAUAAUAGAACAAAGUAAUACUAAUUUAUAAUAAAGAAGUCAGGUUGUUAAUAGAUGAAUUUGAUUGAAUUUUUAUUGUGUUAGGAAGUGUUAGGAGGAGGAUACAAUUAUCUUACUAGACUACGACACUUGUACAUCAUUAGCAUCGCAAGUACUCAUUUUCCAAAUGUGCAUUACAUUUGAUUUUAAAAAUUUGGUAUUCCUACCAUUAUCCUGAAAACAUAUAUAUUCACAUAUAAACUUUGUUCUUAUUGUGAGGAAACUCCAAAUGUUGAAGCCAUAUUCUUUAAUUGGUCUAUGAUUGAGGAGUGACCGUUGAAAUGUGUAGACUUCAAAAGGAUGUCUAACCUAAUAAUAGUGGUAAUUGUGGUUGAAUCUGAAAUAUUUGACUGCAAAUUCACCGGUUCUUUAGACCUUUCUGAUUCUCUUCGUUAUCUUUACUGGCAUGAUAUCCACUGAAAUCUUUACCGUAAAAUUUUACUCUAGAAAAUCUGGUUGAGCUUCAUAUGCCCGUAUGCAAUUUUAACAUUGAUUGUAUCAACAAGAAAGAUGUAAGACAAUGAAAGCUACAAUGAGGGAUUAUCCAUUCUAUAUAUGAAAAUCAAUCUUAAAAUGGAUGUUAAAAAAUUGAAAGCUACAAUGAGGGAUUAUCCAUUCUAGUCCUUCUCCAAAUGAUAGGAUUGUGAGGGAUAAGUUUGUUUCAUUCCAAUCCCCUUUGAAUUUUAAGAGUUACCUAUUACUUUAGUCUAAAGUAGGGGGAGGUGGCAUUGUGCAAUUUUGGGGUACAUUUCAGUUUACUUACGAAAUUGCCAUUGAGUCUCUCUGUUCCCUCAUUUAACGUUAUUUGCAAAAUUGCCAUUGGGCUUCAGAAAGGGUUUUGGGUCUUUGGGCUGGAAUUUCCGUCCAGAUUGGAAUUUUCGAUUAUUCGAUCCACGCGUUGAUCAUCGCUGGAUCGCCAGCUGUGUGGUAUUUGGUGAGGGGAUGGGUUACGUGUCCAUCAUUGUCGGAAGGUUUCCUUCGACUGCAACUUCUCGACUUUUCGUUCUGUUUCAACUUCUCUCUCACAAGCCUCUGCUUCAGUCGCUCUUGAUCUUCGCCUUUUCUAAGGCGUUUGAGGGACAAAAACCGAAAGCCAAACCACCACCACAAACGAAGUCACAAAUAGGGAUGGGCAACGGUUAUGGCGGACGGGUAACCGCGAUUAUUUACCCAUAACCAUUUAUACUUAUAUCCGCAUAAUUGUUUACCCGUUGGGUAAUUGCCCAAACAGUUAUACCCAUACUCAUAACCAUUUAUAAACGGUUAACCAUACCCAUAACAGCAUACCCAUUUAACCAUAACCGUUUAAUACCAGUUUACUCAUUUACUCUUUUUAACCUGUUUAAUUUUUAUUUAUUUUUUAUCAUUACCUCUUUUUUCACCCUUCUACAUGUUUUUUAACAACUUGAAAAUUAAAAAAAAAAUGUCAUAAUUUUUUUUUGGCAAUUAAACACCGUUAUAAGCACAUUCAUCUUACAUUUCCGUAUUAAAAUUUUUUAAAUCCUUAUCUCAUUCUAAUAAUUGAAAUAAUUUCCGGCAAAGACACAACGGUGUGCACUCGUACGUGGAUUAUUUAUAUGCUCAGCAAGCACCCUUAUAUGCAAGAAAAGGUUGUAACGGAAGUUUGAGAAGCAGCAAAUCUGAAAGAUGACUCAAGCAUUGUUGAACUUGCAGACAAUCUUAAUGAAGAUGCCCUUAAUAAAAUGCAGUAUGUCUUAGUAGCUUUGACUGAGACACAAAGGCUCUACCCUGUAAUUCCACUGGAAAUUUGACUAACAUCUUAACUAAAUCUAAUGCAUGCAUACUGCAAGGGAAAUGAUUUCAGUGCGCUCCCAUUUAUUUUUCUCACUUAAAUUUCUUUUGAUUUAUUCAAUUUAAGAAUAGAAAUACUCCAUGGAUCAUCGUUUAUUACUUUUUAAUUAAUUAAAACACUGCUAUAUAAACCACAUUAUAGUCAAUAGUAUUGAUCUAAGUUUUGUUUGAUAGAGAACAUGAUUUGUGUUAAUUUUAUAUAUAUAAAAUAAAUAGAUAAACGGUUACUCAUUUAUAACCAUGAUUAAUACUCAUAAUCAACUAUUUAUAUUUUACGGAUGAACGAUUAUACCUAUAACCGUUUAUUUAUUUAAACGGUUACCCAAAUGAUCGUGUAACCGCGGAUCAUCCCUAGUUACGAACGCCACUCUCACUCACCCUCCACCGUUACACACGCACCCAAUCAUAAUUCUGAAAUCCAAACACAACCCAGAUGUUAAUCCUUCAGAGAAUGGCAAUGGCCACUUCUUCUUCCUUCCUCUUAAUCCCUCUCCUCAAUACUCUUCUUUGCUUUCCCCAGUUAAACACCAAGCUCCGAGUUCAGGUCUCUGUCCUUGUACGGCGGUAGAACUGGAGACUCCACCUCCUCGGCGAUGGCCACAGAGGCUCAGGUCUCGACCCAAGACGACAAAUUGAAGGAUGCCCAGAUGGAGGUAGCUGAUAAACCUGAGACAGUCGUGCUUCCAACCAACGAGUCCUCCGAAAGCCUCAUCAUAAUUCGACACACGGUAUUUAUUGAAAUUUCAUUGCUUUGGAUUGGAUUUAUGAUUGUUUUAUGUUAAAUUGAAGUAGGGUGCUUUCCUGUUGAAUUUUUUGAAUUUUUAGAUUCUUAGGAGCUUCCCCUUUUUGAAAGUUUGAUGCUUUUAAUUAACUAUUUUCAAUUCUGCGUUACUAAUUGUCACCUGAUUCUAUUGUGAAGAAUGAGGAAGUGAGGAUGAAGAAAAUAAGAACCUAACUUUUCGGUAAUUUGAAAUUUGAUCGAAUAGGACAUGGAAAAAUGGGUGUACAUCAGUAGAUAAGCUGGGAAAAUUUUCAAGACUUGGAUUGUCUGCCCUCUAAUUUUGGUGCCCUCCCAGUGCCCUCUUGUUUUUGUGGUCAUGGUUAAGCCACAUCAACAUUUUAUAGUACUAUUUCUUUUUGUUUUAUUAUUUUUAUAAAAAAAUGAUAUAAAAUAUUGACGUGGCUUAACCGUGACCACACAAAACAGGAGGGCACCGAAAUGGGAGGGCAGACAAUCCAAGUCCAAAUUUUCAUCCUGUUUUUGGGAAUGUGAGAAGAUACAUGGGUUUCUGUAUUUUGAUAAAGUGUUGAGGUCGAGCUAUGUUCAUUUUUUUCUAAAUUUCCAUGUAGUUUGGUAUUAAUGGCGUCUUUUCCGCUGUUAUGGUGAUGAACUAUUUAUGUGUUUGACUGCAGUGUGCACACGUGAUGGCCCUGGCUGUUCAAAAGCUCUUCCCGGAUGCAAAAGUGACAAUUGGUCAGUGGAUAGAAAAUGGGUUCUAUUAUGAUUUUGAUAUGGAGCCUUUGACAGACAAAGAGUUGAAGAGAAUCAAGAAGGAGAUGGUAAGUGGAAUUUCUUUAUAAGUUAUCAUGUUUGUAUCAAAGUUUUGGAACCAUGAAACUAUUGAAAACUAUUCAUGAUCAUUUCUUUUGUGAUUUGUAGGAUCUCAUCAUUGGUAGAAACUUACCACUCAUAAGAGAAGAAGUUUCAAGAUAUGCUCACAAAAGAAUAACUGCGCUCAACGAAGCAUACAAAUUGGAAAUUUUGGAUAGUAUUAAAGAAGAUCCCAUUACCAUAUAUCAUAUUGGUAAGGGUUUCACUAUUUUCAGGCUCAAUAUAGUUUGGAAGGUGAUGAUUUAAUGUGCAGGAACUGUGCGUAAAUGAUAUUUUUAUUAGCUACACAAGUGAAAUGUACAGUGUUUGUGUCGAGUCUUAAGAUGGAAAUUUAAGGGAAUAAAAAAGAGAGGGCGGGGGUGUGCUCAGGGAAAACAAUGUUGUUGGUGCUCUUUAAAAAUGAGUUAUUGAUAUGCAAAUUGAAAAGGAGACUAAUUUGAAGGUGGGAGGAACCUUUUGGUCAAGCUAACCAAUUAUACUUAUGUUUAUACAUAUGCAUGCUUGUACUGGGAUUUGAUUGUGUUUUGAACUAGCAUCCUGUCAUAUUAGACUGUCUUUAUGUCAUAAUUCCUCAUAGUAUGCCGAAUUCUUCUUAUGUGAUGAAUGGUAGGAAGCAUGUGCAGGGCCCCAUGUUGAAAAAACUGGAAAUAUUAACGGAAAAGCUGUCGAACUUGAGUCUAUUGCUGGUGCUUGCUGGAGAGGAGAUGAAAAAAACCAAUGCUGCAGAGGAUCUAUGGCACUGCAUGGGAGAGUGAAGAUCAAUUGAAGGCAUAUCUUCAUUUCAAAGAGGAAGCUAAACGUCGAGAUCACAGGGGCUUUGAUCAAGUUCUUGACCUGUUUUCUAUACAGGUACUCAGAAUUGCCCUGAAUCUCUUUCUGCUGCUUACGCAGAUUUAUCAGUUAGCAAUCCCAUUAUUUGUAAUUAUGAGGAUUCUUGCAUUAACUCUGCCUGUGUAAGUUUAUCUUACAUUGCCGGUCCCAAGUCCGGGUAAAGGAGGAGGGGGAGGGCGUCAGGUAGUCGACAGCCGGCACUCCACAGUUACGUCGAAUCCUUAUGAAAAUGAAUCCAGAACGAAAUCGCGCUAAAGCUAGGGCGUCACCCGUAAGUGGCGCGCUGUGUGGCCCGAGCACAGUGAUAAGUGAGCAAGGGUCGCUGUAUCUCCAUCGGCACCCGGAUGCAGUGUUAAAUGAGCAAGGGGGCCAUAGAAACUUCUUUUCGAACGACUCCACUCAAAGUUGUUUGGGAGCAUAUACUCCUAUCAACUUUACACAGGACACACAAAAGAAGUACUUUGAUCCUAUUGGACGGGGGAGGGUGAAGAAGCUAGGACAAAAGGGUAGAGUUCAAGAGAGUAGAAUGCGUUUAGGAACGUGGAAUAUAGAAACCUUAACGGGAAAAUCUAUAGAAGUAGUGGAAGUUAUGGUGAGGAGAAGGAUAAAUAUUAUGUGCCUACAAGAAACUAAGUGGGUUGGUCUUAAGGCAAAGGAUCUAGAAAACUUAGGGUUUAAACUUUGGUAUUCGGGCACAAGUAGAACGAGAAACGGUGUUGGCAUCAUCUGUGGACAAGACCUUGACACAAGAUGUUGUAGAUGUCAAGAGGGUAGGAGAUAGAAUCAUGGCAAUCAAGAUUGUAAUAGGACAAGAACUCAUCAAUGUCAUUAGUGCGUACGCACCUCAAGUAGGGUUGGAUACGAGUUCGAAGGAGAAAUUUUGGGAAUACCUUGGAGACUUGGUGCUGGGAAUACCUUGGAGACUUGGUGCAAGGAAUUGCCCAGACGGAGAAGUUAUUUAUAGAGGAGAUUUAAAUGGACACGUGGGCAGGGAGACAGGCAACUAUAGAGGUUUUCAUGGUGGCCAUGGUUUUGGGGAGAGAAACGAGGAUGGGGAAGCUAUCUUGGAUUUUGCAAUGGCAUAUGAUCUCUUCUUAGCCAACACAUUCUUUAAGAAGAGAGAAGAACAUGUGAUCACCUACAAGAGUGGGUUGUCAAAAACACAAAUAGAUUUUCUUCUAAUGAGGAUAUGAGAUCGUAUAACUUGUAAGGAUUGCAAAGUUAUACCGGGAGAGAGCUUGGCUAAUUAACAUCGCUUGUUGGUGAUGGAUGUACAUAUCAAAAGAGUGAGAAAAAAGAACAAGACUUGGAAGUGCCCAAGGCCUAGAUGGUGGAAUCUAAAAGGAGAAAAACAAGCCAUUUUCAAAGAGAAAGUAAUCACCCAGUGUGGGUGGGAUAGAGAGGGGGAAGCUAGCUAAAUGUGGGAUUCCAUGGCUAGUUGUAUCCGAAAAGUAGCAAAAGAGGUAUUAGGAGAGUCCAAGGGCUUUGCCCCACACCAAAAGGAAUCUUGGUGGUGGAAUGAGGAGGUACAAACAAAGGUGAAGGCUAAGAAGGAAUGUUGUAAAGCCUUAUACAAGGACAGGACCGAUGAAAAUAGUGAAAGGUAUAGAAGAGCGAAGCAAGAGGCUAAGAAAGCUGUGAGAGAAGCUAAGUUAGCGGCUUAUGACGACAUGUAUAAGCGACUAGAUACCAAAGAAGGAGAGUUGGAUAUCUAUAAACUAGCUAGAGCAAGGGAAAAGAAGAUAAGGGACCUAAACCAAGUGAGGUGCAUCAAGGAUGAGGAUGGAAAGGUUCUUGCUACAGAGAAUGCGGUCAAAGACAGAUGGAGAGGUUAUUUUCAUAAUCUUUUCAAUGAAGGACAUGAAAGGAGUACUUCUUUAGGGGAGUUGAGUAAUUCAGAAGAGUGUAGAAACUACUCAUUUUAUCGUCGAAUCAGGAAGGAAAAAGUGGUUGUAGCUUUGAAGAAAAUGAAGCAUAGAAAAACAGUGGGCCCAGAUGAUAUAUCGAUCGAAGUGUGGAAAGUCUUGGGAGAGACAAGUAUAGCAUGGCUCACUGACCUUUUCAAUAGGAUUUUGAAAACGAAGAAGAUGCCAACUGAGUGGUGAAAGAGCACUUUGGUGCCUAUAUACAAGAAUAAGGGCGACGUACAAAAUUGCAUGAAUUAUAGGGGUAUUAAGCUAAUGAGCCAUACAAUGAAGCUCUGGGAGAGAGUCAUUGAGCAUAGAUUGAGGUAAGAGACACGGGUUUCGGACAACCAAUUCGGGUUCAUGCCAGGGCGCUCAACCAUGGAGGCAAUCUAUCUCUUACGAAGAUUGAUGGAAAGAUAUAGAGAUGGGAAAAAGGAUUUACACAUGGUCUUUAUAGAUUUGGAAAAAGCUUAUGAUAGGGUCCCAAGAGACAUUCUUUGGAGGAUUUUAGAGAAGGAAGAAGUACGAGCAGCAUAUAUCCAAGCUAUAAAGGAUAUGUAUGAAGGAGCAAAGACUGCCGUAAGAACUCAUGAAUGACAAACCGAAAGCUUCUCCAUAACUGUAGGAUUACAUCAAGGCUCAUCCUUAAGUCCUUACCUUUUUGCGUUGGUAAUGGAUGAGUUAACAGGACAUAUUCAAGAUGAUAUUCCUUGGUGUAUGCUUUCCGCAGAUGAUAUAGUGUUGAUAGAUGAAACUCAGGAAGGGGUAAAUGCGAAGCUUAACCUUUGGAGAGAAAUGUUGGAAUCUAAAGGUCUUCGCCUAAGCCGAUCAAAGAAAGAAUAUAUGGAGUGCAAGUUCAGUGCAAAUGGAGGCCAAAAUGAGUUAGGGGUGAGGAUCGGAGAUCAGGAAAUACCAAAGAGCGAUCGUUUUCGCUACUUAGGAUCUAUCUUGCAAAAGAACGGAGAAUUAGAUGGAGAUCUCAACCAUAGAAUACAAGCUGGAUGGAUGAAGUGGAAGAGUGCAUCCGGCGUGUUGUGUGACCGUCGUAUGCCACUGAAGCUCAAGGAAAAAUUUUAUAGGACAACAAUAAGGUCGGCGAUGCUGUAUGGCACAGAAUGUUGGGCGGUGAAGCAUCAACACGUACACAAAAUGGGUGUAGCGGAGAUGAGGAUGCUUCGUUGGAUGUGUGGGCACACGAGAAAUGAUAAGAUUAGGAAUGAGGAUAUCCGAGGUAAAGUAGGAGUAGCCGAAAUUGUACGAAAAUUGAGAGAAAAUUGGUUACAGUGGUUUGGACAUGUGCAAAGAAGGCCUACUGACGCUCCGGUUAGAAUAUGCGACUACAGGACAGAGGUUUAGGGCCGAAGGGGUAGAGGAAGACCUAGGAAAACUUUGGAAGAGACUCUAAGAAAAGACUUAGAGUAUUUGGAUCUAACGGAGGACAUGACACAGGACUGAGCACAAUGGCAUUCUAAGAUUCAUAUAGCCGACCCCACUCAGUGAAGAAGGCUUUGGUGUAUUUAACACAAUACGUUGAAAUGAAGCAAAACUUAUUUAUUGAUAUCUCCGAUAAGUUACAAAUAUGUACAUAUACAUGAGUCAAAAUAAACAAACAAGAGGGAGCCUUCACAAAGGUUGCUUAGGAGAAGUCUCAGCAGUUGGUAGAGCCCCAGAAAGAGAAGGCACCGGAGGGGUAUCAUUCGAAGCCUCAGUACUGGACAGAACCCUAGAAGGAGGAGGCAUCGAAGGUUGAUCAUUUGGAGCUUCAGUACGCGGUACAGCCCCAGAAGACGAAGGCAAUAAAUGCCUUUGGAACAAACCCACAAACCGCUGAUGAUCAAGUAAAACCUGACCAUCAGAUUCCUUCAUCUGGUCAAGCUUCCUCUUCAUGUUUGUAGCAUAGUCAUGUGCGAGCCGGUGCAACUGUUUAUUCUCAUGCUUGAGCCCUCUAAUCUCUUAUUUGAAACUCAUCACUUCAGCCGCCAAUGAUUCAACUUGGCAGGUUCGAGCAAAUAGGCGCUGGGCCAUAUUAGACACAGAACCUGCACACUGAACACUUAGAGCCAGAUAAUCCUUAACAGCCAACUCAUCAGACCGUUUGCAAAGUAAUCUGUUAUAUUUGGGAGUGAGAAAGUUCCUGGCCACCACCGCAGCAGUCAUAUCAUUCUUCAUCACGGAAUCCCCAACGGUAAGCGGACCAGUAGGGGAUAAGAAAGAUGGACGCCAUAUGUUGUCUGGAGAAGGCGUGGCUGCCUCUUCAACGAGGUUCAAGUCAAAACGACGGUCGGAGGGGCCAGAAAUUUUCAAAGGUGUUGAAGAGAGAAGUGGUCGGACAAAUCAAGAUCUUAGAAGUGCAAGAAUGGAGCUUCUACUGGUGAAGAUUCAAGUGUGCUUUGGAACUUAAUGUCAGCCUCUAUAAAAAUCUGCACUCGACGGAGCUUCAGAAAUCGAAGAGGCGCCUGCCCAGAAAUCGAAGAGGCAUUUGCUUUCUCAAAAGUUGGGCUGCUCAAAGACCACGAGGGUCGAUCUCAGAAAUCGAAGAGGCGUUUGCUUUCUCAAAAGCUGGGCUGCUCAAAGACCACGAAGGCCGAUCUCAGAAAUCGAAGAGGCACUUGCUUUCUCAAAAGCUGGGUUGCUUAGAGACCACGAAGGCCGAUCUCAGAAAUCGAAGAGGCACCUGCUUUUUUCAGCCUUGUCAGCACCUGUCACAUGCACACUCAGCUUUGCUGAAAUUACGGGCAUUCUGUUGAAUAUUUCUGGUGAAGUAGAAAGCACGUGAAUCUUAUUGUUCAAUCAUCCACUUUCCACACGCACCAUCAGCUCAUGGGUACCAUAGAUAACUUUGCCAAAGAUCUCUGACAAAGUUUAGACACGUGAAGCUUGCAGCUCCCACUACAUCGCUAUGAUCAAGAAGGGUAAAAGAAUAGCAAAGAAACAGCACUAACAAAGUUUAGAUACAUAAAUUUUGAAGGUCUAGCUACCAUAUUAUUACCUACAAGGGUAAAGGAACAGCACCGCUGCUGGAUAAUCGGAAAGUCCUUGUAUGUCAACCUAUGUGCUCUGUGGCAAGGUAGACUAGCAAACAUGCCCAAACUUUACUUACAUUCGAGAAAACACUCCCAACAAGAUUGCUUGCUCCAAAAUCGAAGAGGCACCGUCCUCUGAAUCUCGAGAGCCAGACUCCCAACAUGAUUACUUUCUCAAAAUUGAAGAGACACCGCUCUCCGAAUCUCGAGAGCUAGACUCCCAGCAGGAUUGCUCUCUCAAAAAUCGAAGAGGCACCGUUUUCCGAAUCUCGAGAGCCAGAUCUCCGACAAGAUUACUUGUACGAAAACCGAAAAGGCACCGCUUUCUCAACUUCAAGAGCCAGAUCUCCUUGGAUAAAGCUUGUCUGUAAUCUUCACACGCAACAUCAGCUUUCCAGAUACCACAGACCACUUUUUCAAAGUGCUCUGACACACGUGAAGCUAGCAACUCCCACUACCGUGCUAUGACCAAGCAGGGUAAAGGAAUAGUAUUACUACUUGUUGUUAGGGAAACUCCUAUAUAUGUCGACCUCCAUCCUCAACGGACAGGCAGACCUGCAAAAAUGCUCAACACUUCCUCAUAUCCGAGAGGGCACUCCCAACGAAGCCUCUCGAAAUACUCAGCUUUCUUUCCCCCCGAUAAUACCUCUGCAAACAAGCUACACCAGAGCAAGAAUAUCUCAUAUCAUCAGGGUUAAAAGCAAGAGUAUCCCAUAUCAUGCUUUUUCCCUGUCUUUUCCUUUGGCCUUGUUCUUACCUGCAAGACAAGGAGAAAGAGAGCAAUCAGUCAGCACUUGGAAUCAAGCUUCCAGUCAGGAACUGACUGCCUGGAACCCCUUACCUGAUUACUUACCUGGCAUUGCUCUCGAGUACCCAUCUUCAAAAUCUUAUGCUUCCAGAGAAGAUACCACAUCUGCCUGAGGAACAGAUAGGGAAAGUGAGAAGGAUACAAGGAAGCAUGUGGAGACAAACGUAACAGAACACGUGCCGAUACAUCCACUACUUUGUCAACAGCAAAAGUAUCUCAUAUCAGCAGGGUCGAACGUACUCUAGAUUUGAUGGACGUGUUUUGACCCUCAAAUUCUUCAGUCGGCCUUAUACUCUGGAAGAAACCAGAAAAUCCUCCAGCCCAGUUCAAGAAUAAGCCUGUGUAAAGUUACUUAUUCAAAAGCAAAAGUAUCUCAUAUCAUCUAUUCUCCUUUUCUUCUCUUUAUCCUUCAUGCUGCCUGCAAGAUAGGGAGAAUGAGAACAAUCAGCCGGAACUCGAAAUCAAACUUCUGAUCUGGGACUAAUUGCUUGGAGCUCUGAUUGCUUACCUUGUCUGUCACCUUUUUCAGCAUAUCCCCUAGCUCGGUGACUUGGGGGACUCCUACUACAUGGUUUGUAUCGCGCUUGACCAAGCCUGAAACUACAAGUAAGCUUCAAGUGAAUUUGAUACAUUACCUUGUGCAUCUCCACCAGUUAAAGAUACCACCCCUUGAUGGAGGAAGCGUACUUCCAGAGAAGAUGCCACAUCUACCUAUGAGACAGUUAAGGCAAGUGAAGACGAGAGCAUGCACCUAUGUGAUUUGUACUAAAUCAUUCACUUGUACUCACUAAAGGAGAGCUUGAACCUAUGUACUUGCGUAAACUCUUCACAAUUAAUGAGAACUCCUCUACUCCGUGGACGUAGCCAAUCUGGGCGAACCACGUACAUCUUGUGUUUGCUUUCUUGUCUCUAUCCAUUUACAUACUUAUCCACAUUAAUGACCAGAGCAAUCUAGCGAAGAUCACAAACUUAAUACUCUCUGUUGUACCAAAGUCCUCACUGAUUUUGUGCAUCAACAAUCCUUAAGUCUUUACAUUUUUGCGUUGGUAAUGGAUGAGUUAAUAGGACAUAUUCAAGAUGAUAUUCCUUGGUGUAUGCUUUUCGCAGAUGAUAUAGUGUUGAUAGAUGAAACUCAUACGGGGUAAAUGCGAAACUUAACUUUUGGAGAGAAGUGUUGGAAUCUAAAGGUCUUCGCCUAAGCCGAUCAAAGACAGAAUAUAUGAAGUGCAUGUUCAUUACAAAUGGAGGCCAAAAUGAGUUAUGGGUGAGGAUCGGAGAUCAGGAAAUACCAAAGAGCGACCGUUUUCGCUACCUAGGAUCUAUAUUGCAAAAGAAUGGAGAAUUAGAUGGAGAUCUCAACCAUAGAAUACAAGCUGGAUGGAUGAAGUGGAAUAGUGCUUCUGGCGUGUUGUGUAACCGUCGUAGGCCACUAAAGCUCAAGGAAAAAUUUUAUAGGACGGUAAUAAGGCCGACGAUGCUGUAUGGCACAGAAUGUUGGGCAGUGAAGCAUCAACACGUACACAAAAUGGGUUUAGACAUGUACAAAGAAGGCCUACUGACGCUCCGGUUCGAAGAUGGGACUACGAGAUAGAGGUUCAGGGCCGAAGGGGUAGAGGUAAACCUAGGAAAACUUUGGAAGAGACCCUAAGAAAAGACUUAGAGUACUUUGAUCUAACGGAGGAUAUGACACAAAAUUGCGCACAAUGGCGUUCUAGGAUUCAUAUAGCCGACCUCACUUAGUGGGAAAAGGCUUUGUUGUUGUUGUUGUAUGAGGAUUCUUGCAUUGAACAUUUUCAUUGUUGAAUUUUCACAGAAUGAUGCUGGUGGUGGUUUAGUGUUCUGGCAUCCAAAGGGUGCUAUUGUGAGGCAUGUAAUGGAAGAUUUGUGGAAAAAGAUUCACAUAGAACGUGGUUACAAUCUGCUUAUACUCCACAUGUUGCAAAGGCGAACCUUUGGCAGAUAAGUGGUCAUCUGGAUUACUACAAGGAGAAUAUGUAUGAUCAAAUGAAUGUUGAGGAUGAACUUUAUCAGCUUCGACCGAUGAACUGCCCCUAUCAUAUCUUGGUUUACAGAAAGAAGCCUUACUCAUAUCAUGAAUUUCCUAUUCAAGUUGUUGAGUUGGGAACCGUUUAUAGAUACGAAUUAUCUGGAAGCUUGCAUGGUCUUUUUCGUGUAAGAGGUUUUACUCAGGUACAGUGUUAGUAUUUGCAAACUAUUAGUCUAUAAUCCUUGGUGUAUGAAGUGUUUUUUUUUUUUUUAACCUCAGGACUUGUUGCAGGAUGAUGCCCACAUAUUUUUUCAAGAAGAUCAGAUCAAAGAUGAAAUUAAGGGUGUCCUAGAUCUUACCGAAUAACUUUUGUUGCAAUUCGGCUUCAGCAAAUAUGAGGUCAAUCUCUCUUCGAGGCCAGAGAAAGCUGUUGGAGAUGGUGAUAUAUGGGUGAAAGGCAACAUCUGCCCUUACUCCUUAGAGAUGCUUUGGAUGAUAAAGGUUGGAGCUAUCAAAUUGAUGAAGGUGGUGGUGCCUUUUAUGGUCCAAAGAUUGAUCUUAAGAUUGAGGAUGCCCUUGGAAGGAGGUGGCAGUGCUCAACUAUACAAGUUAAUCCUGAACUCAUGACGGGAUAAUUCUAAUGUACGCUUUGUUUUUUAAUUGGUAGUCUCUAUGUCUAUCUCCGUAUCACUUUGUAAAAUGUUCAUUGGAGAUUUGAGCAUCUUUUUUUAAUUGAGCGAAUUACAUGGAUUUGUUUGCUAGAGUAAAGCCACUUAUUAUUGUUAUUUUAAAUUGUUUGAUCUUUUGUACUUCCCAAAUUGUACAAGUUGAUUUUCCAUUAUGGCUUUCGCCAAUACAAGCUCAUGUUUUACCAGUUACUGACUCUCAGGUUUGUAAAGCAGUUGCACGUUUAAUGUUUCAAUUAACUCAAGGACCCUCAACACACCUGCACGACGGUUACCUGGGCUAUGACCCCUGACUCUCCUCCCAGUGAUUCGACUCCUUUGUCGACUCCGAGUCGCUCAAGGACUCCACCACCGAUUCCCCAAUCUUCCACGGCUCCACCAUAGACGACGCUUUCGAACGGCCAGGGCUUUGAUGGAGGGUUUGGCGGGUCCGACGAUCCCAUUUUGCCGGUUCCGUCUGAGAUACUGCCUGAGGAGGGCUUCGCUCUCAGAAAAUGGAGGAGGUAGGAUCUCGAAUUCUAAUUGUUUUCAAUUGAACCGAUAGUUCUGUAUAGCAAUUAAAUUUUGACUCUUUUGUGCAAUUUAGUUGAAAGUUGUUGGUUUUGAUUUGGCUUGAUCUUUCUGUUGAUGAGAAAUUAGGUGGAAAUUGUUGUUUUGAUUUCGAUAGUUUUCAAGAAUUGCAUGCUUAGUGAUCAGCAAUCGUCUGGCUUUAUCGGGUAAGGAGAUAAAGCAAUUAAAUUUCAAAAUUUGGAUUUACAGUUCGUAUUUUGAGCCUGAAUUCAUGAAAACAAACAUAACCCAUUAUUUAUUAGCGAUUAAUGAUCUGAUUAAUUUAGUUUUUAAUCAUAAUCAAUAGCAUGUAGCUUUAAUGGAAGUGGGGUUUGGGAAAUUGGCUAGCACCCAUUUUGCUUUUUGUUUGUCUGCUUUCCAUUUCUCCUCUCUCUUGCCAUCUUCUUUGUAUUUUGGCUACUUCUCUCUCCCGCACUCCCUUUUUAACUCUUGGUUCUGUGGUUCUCCGGCUGCCGUUAGGUUUUUGUGGUCGAACAACGAUGGAAUCCGAGGAUGAUGACUACUACAGCAACGACAAUGACUCCUAGAAAUUUUUAUUUUGAAUUCGGAAUUGGUUUGAUUGAAGCCCCCUAAUUGAUUGUAUUUAGGUUGGAUUUUUAUGCAUCAGGAAUUUCAAUUGAAGCCUCCUAAUUGGAUAAUGUUUUUCCCAUGUUAGGCUUCUCUGAUUGAGGUGAUACAGAUACCAAAUUGGAGCGGUGCUGUUAGUGGAGGAAUCUGGUAGAAACGAUGAGUUUGUAGAUUGAAUUUGUAUAUGAUGAUAAUAAAAAAUGAUAUGUUGUUUUCGUAAUUCUUUUUGCUUUCAAAGUUUAUUGCUUGGUUGUGUUCGUAACCUCUGGGUUCUUACGGUUCUUUGUCUCUCUUACUUCAGAUUCUUUGUGUUUUUUAUCAUUCGUUUGUGAAGAAAUGGGUCGUACGUAGUGGUAAGGCUCUGAGGAAGGCACUUGCCACCAAGGUGCGUUUCGUUUGGGUUUCUGAUGUCUAGAAAAUUAGAAUUGAUAAUUGCAAGCAAUUUUUUCCGAGAAACAAUCAGAUUAUUGAAUCUAAGUUGCUAAUUGUUUUAAUUUUGUAUAUGCUGCAAUUAAAUCAGCACCCGCAACUGAAGGUGUCAAGAAGCCUGACUGCUACCGCCUUGGAAUCGUCAUUUUUCGGUAAGUUUUCAACACAAUAUAGUUCAAAUCCUCUGAAUCAUGUUCUUGAAUUUUACUAUAUGUAUCGUGUUCUUUGCAUUUCGUUAUCUGAAAUUUGUUCUUUGAAUUUGGUUACCAGAAUCGUGCCUAAUGUUUGAUGUGGCCAGUGGCUUUGUAUGGUUGGCUGGUGUGAUUUGGGAGUGUUUUUAGUUAAUGGCAGACAUAGGACAAAGGUGUGGGGCAGCGAAGUCAAGUGGGAUUAGGAAUUUAGGAUAGUAGACUGUUUGCUAAUUUAUGGGAUUAGAAGUCUUCCUUUAUUUUUUCUCUUCAUGUAACAACAACAACAACAACAAAGCCUUUUCCCACUAAGUGGGGUCGGCUAUAUGAAUCCUAGAACGCCAUUACGCUCGGUUUUGCACAUGUCCAAACCCAUUUUGUGUACGUGUUGAUGCUUCACCACCCAACAUUCUGUGCCAUACAUCAUCGCCGGCCUUAUUGCCGUCCUAUAAAAUUUUCCCUUGAACUUCAGUGGCCUACGACGGUCACACAACACGCCGGAUGCACUCUUCCACUUCAUCCAUCCAGCUUGUCUUCUAUGGUUGAGAUCUCCAUCUAAUUCUCCGUUCUUUUGCAAGAUAGAUCCUAGGUAGCGAAAACGGUCGCUCUUUGGUAUUACAUGAUUUUCGAUCCUCGCCCCUAACUCAUUUUGGCCUCCAUUUGCACUGAGCUUGCACUCCAUAUAUUCUAUCUUUGAUCGACUUAGGCGAAGACCUUUAGAUUCCAACACUUGUCUCCAAAGGUUAAGCUUCGCAUUGACCCCUCAUGAGUUUCAUCUAUCAACACUAUAUCAUUUGCGAGAAGCAUACACCAAGGAAUAUCAUCUUGAAUAUGUCCGGUUAACUCAUCCAUUACCAACGUAAAAGGGUAAGGACUUAAGGAUUGUUGAUGCACAAAAUCAGUGAGGACUUUGGUACAACAGAAAGUAUUAAGUUAUUGCUCUGGUCAUUAGUGUGGAUAAGUAUGUAAAAGGAUAGAGAUAGGAAAGCAAACAUAAAAUGUACGUAGUUCACCCAGAAAGUAACUUUCCACAGGCUUAUUCUUGAACUGGGCUGGAGGGAUUUCUGGUUUCCUCCAGAGUAUAAGGCCGAUUGAAGAAUUUGAGGGUCAAAACAAGUCCAUCAAAUCUAGAGUACGUUCGACCCUGCUGAUAUGAGAUACUUUUGCUGUUGACAAAGUAGUGGAUGUAUCGGCACGCGUUCUGUUACGCUUGUCUCCAUAUGCUUCCUUGUAUCCUUCUCACUGUCCUUAUCGGUUCCUCAGGCAGAUGUGGUAUCUUCUCUGGAAGCAUAAGAUGUUGAAGAUGAGUACUCGAGAGCAGUGCCAGGUAAGUAAUCAGGUAAGGGUUCCAGGCAGUCAGUUCCUGACUGGAAGCUUGAUUCCAAGUGCUGACUGAUUGCUCUCUUUCUCCUUGUCUUUUGCAGGUAAGAACAAGGCCAAAGGAAAAGACAGGGAAAAAACAUGAUAUGGGAUACUCUUGCUUUUAACCCUGAUGAUAUGAGAUAUUCUUGCUUUGGUGUAGCUUGUUUGCAGAGGUAUUAUCGGAGGGAAAGAAAGCUGAGUAUUUCGAGAGACUUCUUUGGGAGUGCCCUCUCAGAUAUGAGGAAGGGUUGAGCAUUUUUGCAGGUCUGCCUGUCCGUUGAAGAUGAAGGUCGACAUAUAUAGGAGUCUCCCUAACAACAAGUAGUAAUGCUAUUCCUUUACCUUGCUUGGUCAUAGCACGGUAGUGGGAGCUGCCAGCUUCAUGUGUGUCAGAGCACUUUGAAAAAGUGGUAUGUGGUAUCUGGAAAGCUGAUGUUGCGUGUGAAGAUUAGACACAAGCUUUAUCCAAGGAGAUCUGGCUCUCGAAGUUGAGAAAGCGGUGCCUCUUCGGUUUUCAAACAAGCAAUCCUGCGGGGAUCUGGCUCUCAAUAUUCGGAGAACGGUGCCUCUUCGAUUUUUGAGAGAGCAAUCCUGCUGGGAGUCUGGCUCUCGAGAUUCGGAGAGCGAUGUCUCUUCGAUUUUGAGAAAUUAAUCAUGUUGGGAGUCUGGCUCUCAAGAUUCGGAGAACAGUGCCUCUUCAAUUUUAGAGCAAGCAAUCUUGUUGGGAGUGUUUUCUCGAAUGUGAGUAAAGGCAGGGCAUGUUUGCUAGUCUACCUUGCCACGGAGCACAGAGGUUGACACACAGGGACUUUCUAAUUAUCCAGCAGUGGUGCUGUUCCUUUACCCUUGUGGAUAAUAAUAUGAUAGCUAGACAUUCAAAAUUUAUGUGUCUAAACUUUGUUAGUGCUGUUUCUUUGCUAUUCUUUUACCCUUCUUGAUCAUAGCGAUGUAGUGGGAGCUGCAAGCUUCACGUGUUUAAACUUUGUCAAAGAUCUUUGACAAAGUUAUCUGUGGUACCCCUGAGCUGAUGGUGCGUGUGAAAAGUGGAUGAUUGAAUAGUAAGAUUCAUGUGCUUUUUACUUCACCAGAAAUCUUCAACAGAAUGCCCGUAAUUUCAGCAAAGCUGAGUGUGCAUGUGACAGGUGCUGACAAGGCUGAAAAAAGUAGGUGCCUCUUCGAUUUCUAAGAUCGACCCUCGUGGUCUCUAAGCAACCUAGCUUUUGAGAAAGCAAGCCUCUUCGAUUUCUAAGAUCGGUCUUCGCGGUCUUUUAGCAGCUCAGCUUUUAAGAAAGCAAACGCCUCUUCGAUUUCUGAGAUCGGCCCUCAUGGUCUCUGAGCAGCCUAGCUUUUGAGAAAGCAAACGCCUCUUCGAUUUCUGGGCAGACGCCUCUUCGAUUUUUUAAGCUCCGUCGAGUGCAGAUUUUUAUAGCGGCUGGCAUUAAGUUUCAAAGCACACUUGAAUCUUCACCAGGAGAAGCUCCCUUCUUGCACUUCUAAAAUCUUGAUUUGUCCGACCUCUUCUCUCUUCAACACCUUUGAAAAUGUCUGGCCCAUCCGACCGUCGUUUUGACUUGAACCUUGUUGAAGAGGCAGCCACGCCUUCUCUAGACAACAUAUGGCGCCCAUCCUUCUUAUCCCCUACUGGUCAUCUUACCGUUGGGGAUUCCGUGAUGAAGAAUGAUAUGACCGCUACGGUGGUGACCAUGAACCUUCUCACUCCCAAAGAUAACAGACUAUUUUCCAAACGGUCUAAUGAAUUGGCUGUUAAGGAUUCUCUGGCUCUGAGUAUUCAGUGUGCAGGUUCUGUGUCUAAUAUGGCCCAACGCCUAUUUGCUCUAACCCGCCAAGUUGAAUCAUUGGCAGCUGAAAUGAUGAGUCUCAAACAAGAAAUUAGAGGGCUCAAGCAUGAGAAUAAACAGUUGCACCGGCUCGCACAUAACUAUGCUAUAAACAUGAAGUGGAAGCUUAACCAGAUGAAGGAAUCUGAUGGUCAGGUUUUACUUGAUCAUCAGCGGUUUGUGGGUUUGUUCCAAAGGCAUUUAUUGCCUUCGUCUUCUGGGGCUGUACCGCAUAAUGAAGCUCCAAAUGAUCAACCUCCGAUGCCUCCUCCUUCUAGGGUUCUGUCCAAUACUGAGGCUCCUAAUGAUCCCCCUCCGAUGCCUUCUCUUUCUAGAGCUCUACCAACUGCUGAGACUUCUCCUAAGCAACCUUUAUGAAGGCUCCCUCUUGUUUGUUUAUUUUGACUCAUGUAUAUGUACAUAUUUGUAACUUAUCGGAGAUAUCAAUAACUAAGCUUUGCUUCAUUUCCAACGUAUUGUGUUAAAUACACCAAAGCCUUCUUCAUUGAGUGGAGUCCGCUAUAUGAAUCUUAGAACGCCAUUGUGCUCGGUCCUGUGUCAUGUCCUCCGUUAGAUCCAAAUACUCUAAGUCUUUUCUUAGAGACUCUUCCAAAGUUUUCCUAGGUCUUCCUCUACCCCUUCGGCCCUGAACCUCUGUCCCGUAGUAACAUCUUCUAACCGGAGCGUCAGUAGGCCUUUUUUGCACAUGUCCAAACCACCGUAACCGAUUUUCUCUCAACUUUCCUACAAUUUCGGCUACUCCUACUUUACCUCGGAUAUCCUCAUUCCUAAUCUUAUCCUUUCUCGUGUGCCCACACAUCCAACGAAGCAUCCUCAUCUCCGCUACACCCAUUUUGUGUACGUGUUAAUGCUUCACCGCCCAACAUUCUGUGCCAUACAGCAUCGCCGACCUUAUUGUCGUCCUAUAAAAUUUUCCCUUGAGCUUCAGUGGCAUACGGCGGUCACACAACACGCCGGAUGCACUCUUCCACUUCAUCCAUCUAGCUUGUAUUCUAUGGUUGAGAUCUCCAUCUAAUUCUCCGUUCUUUUGCAAGAUAGAUUCUAAGUAGCGAAAACGAUCGCUCUUUGGUAUUUCCUGAUCUCCGAUCCUCACCCCUAACUCAUUUUGGCCUCCAUUUGCACUAAACUUGCACUUCAUAUAUUCUGUCUUUGAUCGGCUUAGGCGAAGACCUUUAGAUUCCAACAGUUGUCUCCAAAGGUUAAGCUUCGCAUUUACCCCUUCCUGAGUUUCAUCUAUCAAUACUAUAUCGUCUGCGAAAAGCAUACACCAAGGAAUAUCAUCUUGAAUAUGUCAUGUUAACUCAUCCAUUACCAACGCAAAAAGGUAAGGACUUAAGGAUGAGCCUUGAUGUAAUCCUACAAUUAUGGAGAAGCUUUCGGUUUGUCAUUCAUGAGUUCUUACGGCAGUCUUUGCUCCUUCAUACAUAUCCUUUAUAGCUUGGAUAUAUGCUACUCGUACUCCUUCAUUCUCUAAAAUCCUCAAAAGAAUGUCUCUUGGGACCCUAUCAUAAGCUUUUUCCAAAUCUAUAAAGACCAUGUGUAAAUCCUUUUUCCCAUCUCUAUAUCUUUCCAUCAAUCUUCGUAAGAGAUAGAUUGCCUCCAUGGUUGAGCGCCCUGGCAUGAACCCGAAUUGGUUGUCCGAAACCCGUGUCACUUACCUCAAUCUAUGCUCAAUGACUCUCUCCCAAAGCUUCAUUGUAUGACUCAUUAGCUUAAUACCCCUAUAGUUCAUGCAAUUUUGUACGUUGCCCUUAUUCUUGUAGAUAGGCACCAAAGUGCUCUUUCGCCACUCAUUUGGCAUCUUCUUCGUUUUCAAAAUCCUAUUGAAAAGGUCAGUGAGCCAUGCUAUACCUGUCUCUCCCAAGACUUUCCACACUUCGAUCGGUAUAUUGUCUAGGCCCACUGCUUUAUAAUGCUUCAUCUUCUUCAAAGCUACAACCACUUCUUCUUUCCUGAUUCGACGAUAAAAUGAGUAGUUUCUACACUCUUCUGAGUUACUCAACUCCCCUAAAGAAGUACUCCUUUCAUGUCCUUCAUUAAAAAGAUUAUGAAAAUAACCUCUCCAUCUGUCUUUGACCGCGUUCUCUGUAGCAAGAACCUUUCCAUCCUCAUCCUUGAUGCACCUCACUUGGUUUAGGUCCCUUGUCUUCUUUUCCCUUGCUCUAGCUAGUUUAUAGAUAUCUAACUCUCCUUCUUUGGUAUCUAGUCGCUUAUACAUAUCGUCAUAAGCCGCUAACUUAGCUUCUCUCACAACUUUCUUCGCCUCUUGCUUCGCUCUUCUAUACCUUUCACCAUUUUCAUCGGUCAUGUCCUUGUAUAAGGCUUUACAACAUUCCUUCUUAGCCUUCACCUUUGUUUGUACCUCCUCAUUCCACCACCAAGAUUCCUUUUGGUAUGGAGCAAAGCCCUUAGACUCUCCUAAUACCUCUUUUGCUACUUUUCGGAUACAACUAGCCAUGGAAUCCCACCUUUGGCUAGCUUCCCCCUCUCUAUCCCACCCAUACUGGGUGAUUACUUUCUCUUUGAAAAUGACUUGUUUUUCUCCUUUUAGAUUCCACCAUCUAGUCCUUGGGCACUUCCAAGUCUUGUUCUUUUUUUCUCACUCUUUUGAUAUGUACAUCCAUCACCAACAAGCGAUGUUAAUUAGCCAAGCUCUCUCCCGGUAUAACUUUGCAAUCCUUACAAGUUAUACGAUCCCCUUUCCUCAUUAGAAGAAAAUCUAUUUGUGUUUUUGACGACCCACUCUUGUAAGUGAUCACAUGUUCUUCUCUCUUCUUAAAGAAGGUGUUGGCUAAGAAGAGAUCAUAUGCCAUUGCAAAAUCCAAGAUAGCUUCCCCAUCCUCGUUUCUCUCCCCAAAACCAUGGCCACCAUGAAAACCUCCAUAGUUGCCUGUCUCCCUGCCCACGUGUCCAUUUAAAUCUCCUUCUAUAAAUAACUUCUCCGUCUGGGCAAUUCCUUGCACCAAGUCUCCAAGGUCUUCCCAAAAUUUCUCCUUCGAACUCGUAUCAAACCCUACUUGAGGUGCAUACGCACUAAUCACAUUGAUGAGUUCUUGUCCUAUUACAAUCUUGAUUGCCAUGAUUCUAUCUCCUACCCUCUUGACAUUUACAACAUCUUGUGUCAAGGUCUUGUCCACGAUGAUGCCAACACCGUUUCUCGUUCUAUUUGUGCCCGAAUACCAAAGUUUAAACCCUGAGUUUUCUAGAUCCUUUGCCUUAAGACCAACCCACUUAGUUUCUUGUAGGAACAUAAUAUUUAUCCUUCUCUUCACCAUAACUUCCACUACUUCCUUAGAUUUUCCGGUUAAGGUUCCUAUAUUCCACGUUCCUAAAUGCAUUCUGCUAUCUUGAACUCUACCUUUCUGUCCUAGCUUCUUCACCCUCCCCCGUCCAAUAGAAUCAAAGUACUUCUUUUGUGUGUCCUGUGUAAAGUUGAUAGGAGCAUAUGCUCCCAAACAACUUUGAGUGGAGUCGUUCGAAAAGAAGUUUAUAUGGCCCCCUUGCUCAUUUAACACUGCAUCUAGGUGCUGAUGGAGAUACGGCAACCCUUGCUCACUUAUCACUAUGCUCGGGCCACACAACGCGCCAUUUACGGGUGACGCCCUAGCUUUAGCGCGAUUUCGUGCGAUGAAAAAAAAAAGGUGAGUAAUUUUAACUCUAGUUUGAGGUAAUAACAUGUGAAUUUUUCGUAUUACUGGUUUUUCCCUUUCUAUUAAAAACAACCUUUGAUUUCUUUGAUAGUGCGUUUUUCUAUCUGUGCUAUUGUUGAACUCCCCCAGUUAUCAGUUUUGACUCAAAAAAAAUAUUCGAUGAUAACAUGCAUUGAAUAUUGGCUAAAAUUAUAUUGAAAUUUGCUGGCCGAAGCAGAUAUCGUUAAAAGAGCUCUAAGUCACCCUCUGAAAUUAAUUGCCAAAAGUGAUGUUGUAAAUGGAAGAGUUGUUAGUGAGAAGGCAUUUUUUUUCGUUUCACUUUAUAGACUAUGCUCACUAUCUGUUUAAUAUGUUUCAUCGUAUUAAUUAAAGUCUCAUUUCUCAGGUGCUUUCAAGUGACAACCCCAACUAUGGAUGCAUGCUGCCACUGGAAACUAUGAAAAUUUCAUGGUUGCUGGGAUCACUGAUCCAACUAAAGUGGGUUUCUUUAUCAAGUACUUCAUGAAUAGAAUAUUUUGGAGAUCCUAUCGCUGGGACAGAUUGAAGAAGAUGAAGAUCACAAGGGUGGGAUACUGGGGAGGGUGGUAGGGUUAUGAGGAGUGGGCUCUGGUUGGUUUCGAUUUGACCAAUGUCAUGGUUCGAUGGAAUCGAGGUGAUGGGGAUGAUUCAUGAGGUCACAACCACAAGAUGUAGGGCCUACGCGUGGGGUUUAGGGGUUUCACAUAGAGGCUUACAGAGGGAGGGGGUGCACACGUGAAUUGCAGAGGGAGAGGGAGAAAGAGGGGGAGUAGGGUUGCUAUAUUCAAGUUCUCUUUUUUAUUUUUACUUGAAUUUGAUUUGAUUCUUUUUUUUUUUUGCGACAGGUUGAGAAUGCGAAAGCUCAGCUGGAGGUGGAGGUGAGAAUUUUAAUUUAAUUCAUGGUAUAUCUUUUUUUUUUUGUGGGAUUGUGCUGUUUUUGGGAAAACAAUAUUAAAUUGAAGUUUAGAUAUUUCUGUAAUUGGGAUUUAGAGUAAGAGAUGAAGAACUAUAUGUGAUUGCAAAUUUAAAAGUUUAGAACUUUUUUGGUUUGGAAGCUAAUUUUAAAUUCAGCUAGCUGAUUAAUUAAUAGAGAAAUUAUAACGAAUGUGUGAUACGUUUUUCAAUGCGUAUGAGCAGACAUGGGUACUGCUUCAGCGGCAGCAGCUGCUAUAUGAUGGUAGAUGAGGAAUUCUGAGAUGCUGAGUGCUCUUAGUGUCAGAGAUGAAGACUUGAUAAUGAUCGUUCCAAUUCUGCCUCAAGGUAUACUUGAUAAUGUUGUCCUUUAUGUGCAAUUCACUGUAUGAUGCUCGUUCCUUUAAUGAGCCUGUCAAUAUAUUUCAAUGCACCCACCAAUUGGUUUUAUCAUCAUACAUCAUUCGUGAGAAAUGGGAUGGUGAGUUUCUCAAUACAGUUUUAAUUUUUGUGCGAAUAAUGUUUGUAAAAAGUCUGUUUUUAUUUAGUUCAUUGCAGAUUCUUAUUCUUUUAUUUAGUUCACGAUUCAUGCUUUUAAAGAUAAGAAGUGCAAGGCUCUCUCGGAUGUUAGUUUUGGGUGGCAAUUGAAAGAUACGAGGACAAACAAAAAUACCUACCAAUUGAAAGGAUAAAUUCAAUUGAAAAUAUUUGGUUCAUCAAUUAUUAUAGUUUGAGCUUUCUGCAUUAAAUGUCCAGUUUUCGGGAAGAGUGAUUCAUGUAAUUGGGUUUUAUUAAAAUUUUCAUGAUUUUAUACAGUUUUUCGUUUAAAUUUGUGGAUUCAUAAACACUUUUAUGAGUGUUAAUUUCUGUUCGUAUGUCUAAAAUUUGUUUGGAAUUUGGCUGUUUCUUCAAUUUCAUCACCACCUAUUCUCACAACUUCAUUUAAAGUGUUUUGCAUGUAUAAGAUUCAUAUUCAUGGAGGUCAUUUCAAACGGAUUUCAAGCUGAGCUGCAGAAAUUUGAUUCAAAUUGGUGGAUUUGGGUAAGAAACUAAGAAACCAUUAUCUUUUGUUUCGGUUUUAAGAACUGAAUUUAAUGGUUAAGUUUAUGUUUCAAGAUUAUCUUCCUUUCUCCUAAAUACUGAGUUUUAUGAGAUUACAUUUGGCAAGUCUGAAAACGGAUUAGAAAUACAGAGUUUUAUGAGAUCUAUUUGGCAAGAUUAUCUUCCUUUGUCCUAAAUACUGAGUUUUAUGAGAUCUAUUUGGCAAGUCUGAAAGUGGAUUGCGUAUGUUUAUAUCUCCCUUUCUUCUAAAUACUGAGUUUUAUGAGAUCACACCAUCUUAUGUUUAUUGUAUAAUCUUAUGCAGUCAGAAGAAUUAUCAUCUUUUUCCUUUUAGAUUUCAACAUAUUUGGAAAUACUUCAAAUUUUUUGUAGUGUAGUUUGUACUUGUAGUUUACAUGAUUACGUAAGUUCUAUUUCUUUAGUAAAUUUUUAUGCAGGAAAGAAAGUCAUUUCUCAGUUUAUAGUUAACAUGAUUACAUAAGUUAUGCUUAUCUUAUCAACCUCAUUCACUCGUAUGUUGCUCUGUUCAUUCAUGAUUGUGUUAAAUUUAUUCAGGUUAAAAGUGUCUUAUUCAUGCAGUUACGCAUGAAACAGUUGUUCCCGCGGCAACACGUGGGCUUAUUUUCUAGUUCCAAUGUAAACCUAGAGACGAAACGAGGUCAUAUAUUACAAAGACAUAUUCUAAAACAGCCUUAGCUCAGAGAAUAAAAAAAGGAAAACUAAUGAAAAUGGCUUGAAAACUUUGAGUUUUAACGAUAUGGACAAAAUAAAGGGUAAAGUGAACAGUAUCAGGUUUGACUUUUUAGUGUAAAAAUGUGAUUUUUCGUUAAAGUAAACAGUACAGCAGACUUUUCGUUAAAACUCCCAAUAAAAAAAACCAUGCAGUGAAAACAUCUAAGGGAAACGAGUUGAUCCUCAAUAAACGCCUCAAUAGAAUGACAUCUUUGUUAAAGCAUCUGUUAUAAAAUUAGCUUCAUCUAAAACAUGAUAGAAGCUGAUAUGAUCAAGCAUACCAUGUUUGCCAACAUAAAAGAAGGAUCUUUCCAAGUUUAGGAAGGUGGGAGUUGCCAAAGAGAAACCGAUUUGAGCCGCAUUUUCUUCAAAUAUCUCAGGCAAACGGUCGGCUGACAAAAUGCAGUCAAUGGCUUCAACAUCUUGAGAAUAAAAGGCACAACUAGGAUCAAUUGGUUGUACUUCAUAUAGGGAUAAGACUUGAGUCUCGUCUUUCACAUAUGUUUACUUGUUCAUUCCGGCCAUUAUAUGGUACAACACUGAACAUAGAGUACAACUUUUCCGGCCUCUAAGUCCGGAACCCUCCCAAACAUUGGACACUACAAUACCAAAAUAAAGCAAUAAAAUACAACAGUACAAUACAAUAUAGUUAAAAGCAAUCCAUCUUAGUACAGACUCAAUCGGAUGAAUCAACGGAGCCCUAGUGUUCAAGCUUCCAUCCUUGCGGUAAACUUAAGUGGUGGCUUCAAGAAAUGGAUAAUCAGUGUAACCAAUGACGGGAUCAGUGUGUAAAAUGUCUCUCUGUUGUACUUGUUUAGAGGAGCAUUAAGUUCAAAUCUCUUUGGCAAAUCCGGAUUCGCCAAGAAAAUACGGCCAUAAGCAAUAAGAUCUGCACGGCCCUCGCCCACAGCUCUGUUUCCAUCUUCCCUGUGAUAACUGUAAAUCAUUGUGUAUGUUGAUGAAGAAAGAAUAUGCAGGAAGAAAGACAGAGAGAAAUGUAGAAGAAUAAGAGAGUAAGAGAGUUUAGAGAGUAGAGAGAGAAUCAAGAAUUGUAUUUUCUUUCUAGUUAGUUACAACUGACUAUUACAACAUGUAUUUAUUUGUAUUGGUAGCUUACACUCUAAGCCACACAAUAACCACCUUAACUAACUCUUAUAUCACAGCUAUAGAAUCUUAGUACACCUAUCAUCCCCCCUCAAGCUCAGGGGCAGAGAAAUUGAGCCUGAGAUUGGCACAAUGAGUCUGAAAGAGUGGUGUAGAAAGACCCUUGGUGAGGAUAUCUGCAAACUGCUCAGUAGACGAUACAAACUGAACAUGUAGUUGCUGUUUUGCAACCCUUUCUCGAACAAAAUGGACAUCAACCUCAAUAUGUUUCGUACGUUGAUGUUGAAUUGGAUUGCAAGUCAGUGCAAUUGCAGACAGGUUGUCACAGAAAAGUAAUGGGGGCUCGGCCAAAGGAAUCUGCAAGAACGACAACAGAGAUUUAAUCCAAUCCAAUUCAGCCGCUGUAGUAGAGAGAGCUCGAUAUUCAGCCUCAGUUGAUGAGCGAGAGACAGUGUGUUGUUUCUUAUACAUCCAUGAAAUGGGAUUAGACCCCAAGAACACCACCAUUCCAGUUGUGGACCGUCUAUCGUUCGGAUCACCCGCCCAGUCUGCAUCACUAUAGGCAGUAAGAUCAAGGGAACCUCGAAUAUACUGAAUACCACAGCCUCGAGUAGCCUUUAAGUACCUAAGAAUCCGUUUGACAGCCAUAAAGUGGGAGUCCAUUGGUCGCUGCAUAAACUGGCAGACCUGAUGCACUGCGAAAACAAUGUCAGGCCGCGUAAAAGUCAAGUACUGGAGAGCACCAACCAAGCUCCUGUACAUUGUAGGAUUAUUAUAAGGCUUGCCAUCAUUGCUGAGAAGACGGUUGUAAGGCAAACAUGGAGUAUCACACGGUUUGGACAAUAGCAUAUCAGAUUUAGUAAGCAGAUCCGUAACAUACUUGUCUUGAGAGAGAAACAAACCAUUCUUGUUCUGUACAAUUUGAAUGCCUAGAAAAUAAUGAAGAGGUCCCAAGUCUUUCAUAUCAAACUCAUGAGUAAGAGCUUGAAUAACCUCAGUGAUAGCUUGUGGAUGGCUGCCUGUGAUGAUAAUAUCAUCAACAUACAACAACAGAAUCACCACAUAUGUGUCAACAGUUUUUACAAAUAAAGAUGAAUCUGCAAAUGUAGACUUGAACCCUAAGGAAGGUAGAAAAGUAGUGAACCUUUCAUUCCACCUGUGGUGCCUGUUUCAACCCAUAAAGCGAUUUAUGUAAUCGACAAACAUAAUCUUCAUGUUUAAGAUCAACAAACCCAGGUGGCUGUGUCAUGUAGACCUCUUUCUUGUAAAUAUGCCAUGGAGGAAGGCAUUUUUCACAUCUAAUUGUCUCAAUGUCCAACCAAAGUUUGCUGAUAAAGCUAGAACGAUUCUCACUGUUGUAGGUUUAACAACAGGGCUAAAAGUCUCUCCAUAAUCGAUUCCUUCUUCUUGAUUAAAGCCUUUUGCCACCAGCCGUGCCUUAUACCUCCCAAUUGAGCCAUCAGCAUUCUUUUUUAUCUUAUAUACCCAUUUACACCCGAUUAAAUUCUUGUGACGGGGCAAUGGAACCAAUGACCAUGUUCCCUGAUUAUGCAAAGCCAAUAUCUCAUCUUGCAUAGCAUUAAACCAAACUGGGGAUUUCAACGCAGACUUAUAUGUUGCAGGUUCCACUUAUGUCAAAUCAACCCCCCCAUGUUCAUGAACCUGAGCAAGUAAAGCAAGCUUCUUAAUAAUACCACUUUUGGAUCGUGUCUGCAUAGGAUGGAAGUUCACUGGGGGAACAGAGAGAACCACUUGGAGCUGCUCAGGUUGGAAUUCAGGUACCACAGGAGGUGCAGGGGAGAAGGGUUGUGUAGUUGGAGAAGUAAUGGAAUGAGUAGCAGUUGAAUUUCCUGCACUGUCAGGUGAACCUGUAAUUGGAACCGUAGUGGAGGCUGCUGAAAGUUGCUGGAGUACCAGAUUUGGCAUGCCACUAGAGAUAGAAUCUGAGCUUAAUGAUGCAGGACACUCAGUGUAGGGAUUAAGUGACUCGUGUAACACAAGUACAUUACUAUGAUUAGGAACUGGAAUUGGUGUUUGAGAAUGUGAUGGAGGUGGUGAAAUAGUGGUACAGUGAGAUUUAGAGACCAAAGAACGAUAAGGAAACUCUGUCUCAUCAAAUAAAACAUGUCUAGAAAUAUACAUUUUGUUUUUAGAAGCAUCAUAACAAAGAUAGCCUUUAUAGUUAGAUGCAUAUCCCAAAAAGAUACAUUUUGCAGUGCGGGGAUCUAACUUGGUAUGAGUAUAAGGCCUUAACCAAGGAUAACAAGAACAGCCAAAUAUUUUCAAAUGUGUUAUUACUGGUAUGGAAUUGUGCAGCAAUUGAAACGGAGAUAAAUUUCCCAAGGAAGAAGAUGGCAUUCUAUUAAUGAGGUACACUGAGGUUUUGCAGGCAAAAGACCAAAACACUGAGGGUAAGGAAGCAGACUGUAGCAAAGCAAUGGAAAUUUCAAUAAUAUGCCUGUGUUUUUGUUUAGCUAUUCCAUUCUGUUCGGGUGUGUAAGGACAGGAAAGUUGGUGCUUAAUUCUUUUAUCAGACAAAAAUUGUUGAAAUGCUUUGUUUAUGUAUUCACCACCACCAUCACUGUGAAGAGUUUUAAUGGCUACUUGAAACUGAUUUAAGAUGAAAUUGUAUAAAGAAACAAAUAUACCCGAAACAUCACUUUUAUUGCACAUGGGAAAAAUCCAGCAAUAUUUUGUACAAUGGUCAAUGAAAGUGACAUAAUAUCUAAAUCCAUCUAGAGACACACAAGGAGCAGGACCCCACACAUCACUGUGAACAAGAUCAAAAGGUUUUACAGAUUUAUCUACGGAGGAAGGAAAUGGGAGUUUACUGAAUUUGCCCUCUAAACAUGGGUGACACAGUGAAGGUGUUUGAUCAGCAACACAAAGAACAUGUGAGGAUUCUAAAAUGCGGGAAACAAUUGAAUUAGAGGGAUGACCUAAUCUCUUAUGCCAAAUACUGGUAGUAACUUGUUGUCCCAGAAAAGCUGCAAGGUUCCUUUUGUGGAUGACUGCAGGAGAACUUGGUGAGAUGAUCGGAUACAAACCAUUGUUACACAGCCCUUUGUAAAGCACCCUCCCUGUGGCUUUGUCGUGAGAGAUAGCUAAACCUUCACCAUUUGCAGUCUGAAUAGUCUCAUUAGACGGAUAUGGAGUGGACAAGGAAAGAUUUCCCAAGUCUGAAGUCAUAUGAUUAUUUGCACCUGAAUCAGUAAGCGAAAUUUGCUGCUGUGGAGGAGGAGAUGGCACUGAGAAAGAAGGAUUAGGACCAUUGAGUGUUGCAGCAUGCAUAGCACUCAUUUGAGGAUUGGCAUUCUUUUGAAAACAUGUUUCUGCAGUAUGAUUGGAGUUCCCACAAAUAAAGCAGCCUGAGGGACCACUUGUAUUUCGAAAUCUACAGGUAUCAGCCAUAUGGUUGUGCUUCCCACAAAUUUGGCAACCUUGUGAAACAUUCAUGUUUCGAAAACGACAUGUAGAAGCCAAAUGAUUUGACUUCCCACAUAUUUGACAAAGUUAAGGCUGAAACCCAUAAAUCUGUGUUCUUGGCGGAGAAGCACCAAGAAUGCCAGGUGCAGGAUUUGAAGAGAAGUUCUUUUUAUUACCAUAUCUCGGAUUGAAUUAGAACCAAAACGAUUUCUGCCUUUACCAUUGUGAUUAAAAGACCUGUAUGCAUUUGUAUUGGAACUAGGAUAAUUUCCACCAGAACCUGAAAAAGACUGAUUCUUGGACACCAAGUCAUUGUUCUGUGCCAUUAGUGCAGACAAAACAGGUGAUGCAGAAAUGGUUUCAAUCAAUGCUUCUUCAGCCAACAAUUGAGAACGAAGAUCUUUCAACGAUAUCACAGUUUCACGACCCCGAAUCACAGAUCUUAUAGUAUUAAAUUCAGCAGGCAGACCAUUCAAUGUAAGAAUCACCAUAUCAUCAUCAUCAAAGAAAACACCAGCAGCAAAUAGUAAAUCCCGUGCUUCUUUAAUCUUCUGCAAAUACACAGUGAUAGAAUCAUUACCCUUCUUUAUAUUUUGCAGUUCAGAUUUGAGUUGAAAGAUACUGGUUCUUGUGAUAGUUGAGAACUGUUCUUUAAGCCUAGUCCACAAUUCUUUGGAACUGGUACUACCAAUCGCACAAGAAAUCCCAGCAGGGGACAAGGUUGCAGUGAUCAACUGCAUUAAUGCUUUAUCAUGCAUCUUCCAUACUCUGUAAUCAUCCGAUUGAACUUGGGUAGUAGAACCCCCAGAUAAUUCUUGGCAAAAUUGGUCAGGACAAGGAAUCGAGCCAUCAACAAACCCAAUUAUACUAUGGCCUUCAAGCAGGAGCUCCAUCUGAAAAUGCCAAGCCAAAUAAUUUGUUUCAUCCAACUUCACAUUAACUGAACUUGAAACCGACGAGAUCAAAGAAGCAAUCGGAGACUGAAGAAUAUGUAACUGAGUAGCAGUCACCAUUGUUACCAAUUAGGAGAAAAAUCCCAAGAAAUCUUGACAGAGGAAUAACCACAAACACUUGGUGGGUGUACUUUGAUCGAGAACGAAUCAAAGGAAGAAGAAGACUAAACCAGCCCAAAUUUUAACACAAGAAAUCACAGCAAGGAGAAGUAAUAGGGUAGAAGCGGAAGCAACCAUAACCAAGAUCGAAAUCCGUCAAGCUUUCAUGCUUGUUCCGGCGAUGAUACCAUGUAAACCAUUGUGUAUGUUGAUGAAGAAAGAAUAUGCAGGAAGAAAGGCAGAGAGAAAUGUAGAAGAAUAAGAGAGUAAGAAAGUUUAGAGAGUAGAGAGAGAAUCAAGAAUUGUAUUUUCUUUCUAGUUAGUUACAACUGACUAUUACAACAUGUAUUUAUUUGUAUUGGCAGCUUACACUCUAAGCCACACAAUAACCACCUUAACUAACUCUUAUAUCACAGCUAUAGAAUCUUAGUACACCUAUCAAUAACCACCACCAGCAAUGAAGGUACCAUGGAAAGCCUUUCUCAUGGGAAGAAGACUCUGGUGGGUUUCAGCUUUUUCUCCUAAUGUCUUCAUCCUCGGCUCAACCAUGUGGCAGUACACGAUUCCAUAUUUGUUCAAGGCAUUGGCCAUAUAGAGGCCUAAUUCUUUUGGAUUUGAAUCCCCUGAGUCCAUAUAGUCAGCAAAUGGAGAUAAUCUAAUUCCAACUUUAUCUGCUCCUAUUUCGUUAGCGACAGCUUCAACAACUUCCAGAGGAAGGCGGCAACGAUUCUCUAGAGAUCCACCAUAUUGGUCUGUUCGAUCAUUCACAUGAUCUUUCAGAAACUGAUCAAGAAGGUAGCCAUGCGCCCCAUGAAUUUCAACUCCAUCGAAGCCUAUAUAGCAGAUUAACAAUUUCAACAUACUGACGGUAUUAGAACCCUAAGCAUUGUCGCUGAAUUACCAAACAAAUAAUAUAAAGACAAACUACCGGCUUCAAUAGAAUUCCUUGCAUAAGCUUUGAAGCAAAUUGAGUUGUUGUAAAUUAUGUUUCAUAUGUAACGUAAAGACAAAUUACCAGCUUCAAUAGAAUUCCUUGCAGUAAGUCUAAAAUCAUUGACAAUUUGCGGAAUUUCAUCCGUCCUUAAUCGUCUUGGAGGCGUGAAUUCAGAAGCAUCGAUGCCAUUUAAUCGUAUCGGCUUGUCAGUAGAAGAUAUGGGAGCUUGCCCAUUUGGUUGAUAACCUGUAAGCAAGGAGAGAGAAUUACAACCUGAAGUCUAACGACAGUAACUAACAUCCACAGCAGCACUCUUUUAAGUGGGAAUCCUUUGUUACAAAUUACUAUAACCACACGUGCUAUAUACUAGUUCUGAAUUCUGAGUUAUGUUAACAUCAAGCUUCUUCCCAUCCAAUAAUAAUAAUAACAAUGCUUCCGAAGCAGCAAAGUCAUAACAAGUCCAACUCGGAACUUAACAAGUCCAAGUUUUAUCGUCAUUUUGAGCAACAAUGUUGUCAAUUAUAAUCACUAGCUCGUUCUGAUGCAUACACCAUUAUGUUAUACAUCAAACUUCUUAAUCGGUCUAAUUAUUCACUCAUGUUAACAAAGCAUACUAUGGUAAAAGUGUUGUGCCUUGGCCCGUUUAUCAGUGCGGAAACGAGAUUCAGAUUACAACCUCACCAUAAUCACACUCAGUUGAACAGAAUAAAAUACAAGAAAUAAAGACACCGAGAAAUUUACGAGGUUCGGCAAAAAUCCUGCCUACGUCCCCGGAGAGAUAUUGCUCUUCACUAUGAGAAUAACAGUACAAGUACACAUGAGUUAAAUCAACAUAACCCAAUCCCGAAUCCCUUGCACACCCACUCAUAGAAUUUUCCCAAGAGCCUCACUCUAUCCCAAGAGUUCUUUCACCAGAGACCUUUCACUCUAGCUCUCUUGAUUUCUCUCUCACCCGUGUUCAACCCUUCCCAUGGGAGAGCUGAAUGCUCUCCCCUUUUGGAUGCUCACUCCAUCCUCACAAUCGGCAAGCUCUCUUCAUUUUGUGUGUGAAAAAUGCCUUCACUUAUAGACAUGCACCAUCAAUUAUGUCAACCACAAAACAUGCUUCCACAAAACAUGCUUCCUCAAAACAUGCUUCCACAAAACAUGCUUCCACAAAACAUGCUUCCAAAGUCCACAAAGUUGAGAGGAAAUGGUUGCCAACUCAUAAUUAUAUGAGCCAAACACAACAAUCUCCACCUUGGCGAAUAUACUGUGCAAAAAUCCUUGCACCCAUCACCAAUGUCCAUUGGCCUUACGUACCAGCAUACACAUUCUGAAUCAACCUUGUUGGUCCUGUUCCUGAUUCAGUCACUGCCAAUGCAUGUGCAGCUGCUGCAAGCUAAAAAUCACCAUUUAGCUUCAGACAGGAUCUCGACACAUCCUCGUCUCCUCCAGCAGGUUUUCCUUCUCUUCAUUGUCUGCAACUAGGAAACUCGUCAGCGCGCCCGUUUCCAGUAACAACCCAUCGAGCCAGACAAAAUUCCCACACUUCCUCCUACCUCAUGAUCAUCUCAUCACCUGUGAAUCCCAUAGCUCCACCUGCUGCAAAACCCCUGCAACACUUGAGACUAAACAUCACCAGGAGAAGUGUUGCUUCGAGUACCUAGAGGACAUACUCAAAGUCUUCCGCCACAAACUUGCUACAACCCGGCCUUGCACCGUAGCACUGUGGACCCUUGCCUCCGGAACCGGAUCUGAACCUGCUGUCUCUCUCUGAUCCUCUUUCCAAUUUUCUUCCACGAUUCCAACCUUGAAUAACUUAAGCAGUCUUGUGCCCACCAUCAUCCAUGGUCUCCUUUGUGUAUCAUUCCACACCAAAGAAGCUUGCACCUGCUCCAAACUUACUGUAUCUUUCCAUGCAGUAAAGUUUCACAAGGUUCUAAGACAAAUCUGAAAGUGAGGUAAGAAGAAAGAGGCCUUUGUUUUCUUCCUCAACAUCAACUUUCGCAGUUGAUCCAAGCAUCCCUGAACACGGCUUCCAUUACUCUCCUUUGCCAAGAGUAAAACCGCCUCUUCCUUUAAACUGCUCAACUGAAAAUUCCAUGGUGAACAACAAAUCUGGACCUCCAACGAACCAAAGACUCCAACGAUGCUCUGAUACCAAUUGUUAUGCCUUGGCCCGUUUAUCAGUGCGGAAACGAGAUUCAAAUUACAACCUCACCAUAAUCACACUCAGUUGAACAGAAUAAAAUACAAGAAAUAAAGACACCGAGAAAUUUACGAGGUUCGGCAAAAAUCCUGCCUACGUCCCCGGAGAGAUAUUGCUCUUCACUAUGAGAAUAACAGUACAAGUACACAUGAGUUAAAUCAACAUAACCCAAUCCCGAAUCCCUUGCACACCCACUCAUAGAAUUUUCCCAAGAGCCUCACUCUACCCCAAGAGUUCUUUCACUAGAGACCUUUCACUCUAGCUCUCUUGAUUUCUCUCUCACCCGUGUUCAACCCUUCCCAUGGGAGAGCCGAAUGCUCUCCCCUUUUGGAUGCUCACUCCAUCCUCACAAUCGGCAAGCUCUCUUCAUUUUGUGUGUGAAAAAUGCCUUCACUUAUAGACAUGCACCAUCAAUUAUGUCAACCACAAAACAUGCUUCCACAAAACAUGCUUCCUCAAAACAUGCUUCCACAAAACAUGCUUCCACAAAACAUGCUUCCUCAAAACAUGCUUCCACAAAACAUGCUUCCACAAAACAUGCUUCCAAAGUCCACAAAGUUGAGAGGAAAUGGUUGCCAACUCAUAAUUAUAUGAGCCAAACACAACAAAAAGGGAGGUCAUAAAGGUGUAAGUCAGAAACGCACCGCUAUUAGAAACCCUUCCAGCAUGCCAAAUCUGACAGAAGAAGACGCCACCUUUAGCAUGAACAGCAUUAACAAUGGGUUUCCAGGCUUCAACUUGCUCCUUUGUCCAUAUACCAGGUGUGUUUGGGUACCUUCGUAUAUUAAAGAACCAAAAAUUUCAUCAAACUUUGAAACGAAAGAAGCACCCUCAAAUGCUUGUUAGUCUAUGAAUCUACUGUUGUUGAAAUUACCCUUGAGCUGUGUUGGAAACUCCAGCGGCUUCAGCUAUGAGAAGACCCCCGUUCGAAGUUCUCUGAGAGUAAUAUAAGAUAGCAUGUGGUUGAGGAACAUUGUUGUAUGAUCUCUGUCUGGUCAAUGGUGCUAAAACAAUUCUGGAAAGGAAAAAGCAAUUGUAAAUUAUAAAUACAGAGUGAUCAAGACGGAAUGUGGCUGAGGAACAUUAUCGAAUGAUCUGUUUCUAGUCAUCAACGGUGAAAAUACAAUUCUAAAGAGGAAAAACAUAUAACAAACCAUAAAUACAACCUUCAGACUUUGUAGGAAGCAUUAGUUUGCUAAGGCUCUUUGAUAACAAAUUCGCUUUUAGUUUUCUUGUUUUAGUUAAAAAGGAGAAACGAGGGAGGAAGAAGGAAUUUGGGACGAAAAUGUAUGAAAUAAAAACUCGAAUUGUAGAUUAUCUGAAUUUGCUAAGGCUCCUUCAUAACAAAUUCGCUUUUAGUUUUCUUGUUUUACUUAAAAAGGAGAAACGAGGGAGGAAUAAGGAAUUUGGGACGAAAAUGUGUGAAAUAAAAACUCUAAUUGUAGACAAUCUGAAUUUGCUUUAUGUUCUUCAUUUUCGGUAUCAUUCCAUGAACAUUUGGUCCCUCAUCCAUCCCUUCCCCUUCCCCUUCCUCCUCCUCCUCCUCUUCUAUCAUGCAUUUUCUCUUUUACUUAAAAUUAAAAACUAAAAAUCAAAUACGAAAUCGUUACCAAACACAACCUAAACAAAGCAAUGUCUUACGAAGUGACCAUGGCCGAAAGGGCACAUACUUUUAACAAUCUAUUGCAUCUAUUUUCAACAAUUAAUCAAUGAAAUAACUCAAGUGUACUGUUGUUUUGAUUUAAUUUGUAACAUCUGUACUAUUUUAUAGACAAAGAUACAGUUACUCUUUUUUUUUUUUUAGGUAAACUAGAAUUACACCAGGGCAAAGCCAGAGUACAACAGGAAAGCCCACACAGAGGACUAACAUAGCUAAAACCAUUGAGACGACAAACAACAAAAUGAUCCAGGGCCAAGGACCA